Molecule: ribosomal RNA, 451 nt
Filed under: uncultured bacterium
Lineage: Bacteria
Description: partial 16S ribosomal RNA
Rfam family: Bacterial small subunit ribosomal RNA
Source: RNAcentral
GUGGGGAAUAUUGGACAAUGGGGGGAACCCUGAUCCAGCCAUGCCGCGUGUGUGAAGAAGGCCUUUUGGUUGUAAAGCACUUUAAGCGAGGAGGAGGCUACCGAGAUUAAUACUCUUGGAUAGUGGACGUUACUCGCAGAAUAAGCACCGGCUAACUCUGUGCCAGCAGCCGCGGUAAUACAGAGGGUGCAAGCGUUAAUCGGAUUUACUGGGCGUAAAGCGCGCGUAGGUGGCGAAUUAAGUCAAAUGUGAAAUCCCCGAGCUUAACUUGGGAAUUGCAUUCGAUACUGGUUGGCUAGAGUAUGGGAGAGGAUGGUAGAAUUCCAGGUGUAGCGGUGAAAUGCGUAGAGAUCUGGAGGAAUACCGAUGGCGAAGGCAGCCAUCUGGCCUAAUACUGACACUGAGGUGCGAAAGCAUGGGGAGCAAACAGGAUUAGAAACCCUUGUAGUCC